RNAcentral lists this ribosomal RNA (483 nucleotides) under uncultured bacterium. RNAcentral's name for it is "partial 16S ribosomal RNA". It matches the Rfam family "Bacterial small subunit ribosomal RNA", at positions 28 to 523 of the family's 1533-position model. The record is from RNAcentral.
GACGAACGCUGGCGGCGUGCUUAACACAUGCAAGUCGAACGAUGAAGCUGGAGCUUGCUCCGGUGGAUUAGUGGCGAACGGGUGAGUAACACGUGAGCAAUCUGCCCUUGACUCUGGGAUAACUGCGGGAAACUGUAGCUAAUACCGGAUAUGAGGUCCGAAGGCAUCUUCGGGUUUGGAAAGAAUUUCGGCCAAGGAUGAGCUCGCGGCCUAUCAGCUAGUUGGUGAGGUAAUGGCUCACCAAGGCGACGACGGGUAGCCGGCCUGAGAGGGUGACCGGCCACACUGGAACUGAGACACGGUCCAGACUCCUACGGGAGGCAGCAGUGGGGAAUAUUGCACAAUGGGCGAAAGCCUGAUGCAGCAACGCCGCGUGAGGGAUGAAGGCCUUCGGGUUGUAAACCUCUUUUAGCAGGGAAGAAGCGAAAGUGACGGUACCUGCAGAAAAAGCACCGGCUAACUACGUGCCAGCCGCCGCGGUAA